AUGCACUUACUCUCUGCCGAGAGCGCUCAUCGCCGUCUCCGGCCUCGACCCCUACAUCGUCUCAUGCGCAGGCGAAGUCUACACGGCCCUCUCUCCGACGGCAGCGGCGGCAAGAAGAAGAUCGGCGGUCCUCUCAUGACCAGCCUACGCACGUGCGUCAAGGCAACGCUCCCGCCAAACCCGCUCCCGCCCUUCUACUGCUGCCCGCCGGCGCCGGCGUCCGAGCCGAUCAACUUCACGCUCCCAGACCCGGCGGAGCCGCUGAGGGUCCGGCGGCCGAUGCACGCCGUGGGGGCGGAGCACAUGGCCAGGUACGAGCGCGCGAUAACGCUGAUGAGGGCGCUGCCGCACUCCGACCCGCGCAGCCUCUACCAGCUGGCCAACGUCCACUGCGCCUACUGCACCGGCUCCUACCGCCAGACGGGGGACCCGGAGCUCAACGUGCAGAUCCACUUCUCGUGGUUCUUCUUCCCGUUCCACCGCGCCUACCUCUACUUCUUCGAGCGCAUCGCGGCGAGGCUGCUCGGGGAGCCCGGCUUCGCGCUGCCCUUCUGGGGCUGGGACGUGCCGGAGGGGAUGCGGAUGCCGGCCGAGUUCUCCAACUCGUCGUCGCCGCUCUACGACCCCGUGCGGAACCCGGCGCACGCGCCGCCCACACUCGUGGACCUGGACUUCGCGCACGUCGAGAACAACCUCACCGACGAGCAGCAGGUCCAGCAGAACCUCAGGAUCAUGUACAAGCAGAUGAUCGGCAAUGCGGCUCUGCCGUCCCUCUUCUACGGCCAGCCAUUCCGUGCCGGGCAGUCUGACAGGCCGGGCCCUGGGACCGUGGAGCUGACCCCACACAACACCAUGCACACUUGGACCGGCGAUCUGACCUUCCACAACGUGGAGGACAUGGGCACCUACUACUCCGCCGGCCGAGACCCGCUCUUCUACCCGCAGCACAGUAACAUCGACCGCCUGUGGGAGGCGUGGCGAGAUGUCGGCGCCGCCCGCGGUUAUCGCGGCCACGUCGACUUCACGGACUCCGACUGGCUCGACUCCUCCUUCCUCUUCUACGACGAGGAGGCCCGCCUGGUGCGAAUCACCGUCCGCGACGUGCUCGACAUCGACAAGCUCCGGUACAGGUUCGACGGCGUUGGCAUGCCGUGGGUCGACGCACGCCCGCCUCCCACUCCAAACGUGAACAGAAAUAAAGGCUCGUCGUCGUUGAAGUCCGUCAGGUUCCCACUGUCCCUUGACGCGGCUGUGACCGUCGAGGUAAGACGGCCGCGGGUGCUUCGAAGCCGGCGAGAGAAGGAGGUCCGGGAGGAGGUGCUGGUUGUCGAGGGCAUCGAGAGCGACGGCACUGAAAUGGUCAAGUUCGAUGUCUACGUGAACGCCAUGGACUACGAGAAGGUCGAGCCAAGCGGGCGGGAGCUGGCCGGGAGCUACCUGUGCUUGAGUCAUCCUAGUAUGGAUGGCACAGGGAAGGGAAUGAGGACAGAAACGAGCAUGAGGGUGGCGUUGAACGAGCUCCUGGAAGAUUUGGGUGCCGAUGGAGACGAGAGUGUGACGGUGACAUUGGUGCCUAGACAUGGGAAGGUUAACAUCGCAGGCCUGAAAAUUGUGUACAUGAUGGAGUGA
Molecule: ribosomal RNA, 1629 nt
Filed under: Triticum aestivum (bread wheat)
Lineage: Eukaryota; Viridiplantae; Streptophyta; Magnoliopsida; Poales; Poaceae
Description: partial small subunit ribosomal RNA
Source: RNAcentral